UUAAACAGUUACUUGGAUAACUGUGGUAAUUCUAGAGCUAAUACAUGCAAACAAGUCCCGACCAGAGAUGGGAGGGACGCUUUUAUUAGAUCAAAACCGAUCGGCGUCCGGCUCCGGCCGGCGCCGUCUCUUUUGGUGACUCUGGAUAACUUUUAGCCGAUCGCACGGUCACAGUACCGGCGACGCAUCUUUCAAAUGUCUGACUUAUCAACUGUCGAUGGUAGGCUCUGCGCCUACCAUGGUUGUAACGGGUAACGGGGAAUCAGGGUUCGAUUCCGGAGAGGGAGCCUGAGAAACGGCUACCACAUCCAAGGAAGGCAGCAGGCGCGCAAAUUACCCACUCCCGGCACGGGGAGGUAGUGACGAAAAAUAACGAUACGGGACUCAUCCGAGGCCCCGUAAUCGGAAUGAGUACACUUUAAAUACUUUAACGAGUACCAAUUGGAGGGCAAGUCUGGUGCCAGCAGCCGCGGUAAUUCCAGCUCCAAUAGCGUAUAUUAAAGUUGUUGCGGUUAAAAAGCUCGUAGUUGGAUCUGUGUGCCACGCUGUCGGUUCACCGCCUGUCGGUGUCAACUGGCAUGUCUGUGGGACGUCCUGCCGGUGGCGGUACGGGCUGCCGGCGCUGCGUAGGGGCUCGUCCCCGAAGCACGCCGGCGUGUCCCGGUCCGCCGAUCCAAUCCCGCCGCGGUGCUCUUCACUGAGUGUCGAGGUGGGCCGGCACGUUUACUUUGAACAAAUUAGAGUGCUCAAAUCAGGUCGUAUUUAGGCCUGAAU
This 774-nucleotide ribosomal RNA is filed under the name Graptopsaltria nigrofuscata. RNAcentral describes it as "SSU rRNA". It matches the Rfam family "Eukaryotic small subunit ribosomal RNA", at positions 127 to 800 of the family's 1831-position model. The record is from RNAcentral. Lineage: Eukaryota; Metazoa; Arthropoda; Insecta; Hemiptera; Cicadidae.